Molecule: long non-coding RNA, 1448 nt
Filed under: Nicotiana benthamiana
Lineage: Eukaryota; Viridiplantae; Streptophyta; Magnoliopsida; Solanales; Solanaceae
Description: long non-coding RNA (NBEN_LNC003088)
Source: RNAcentral
UUCACAUAAUACAAAUCCUAGCCUCCUAUAUCUCUCUCAGCAGCCGCCUGCCGCACCCAUCGCUUCUGCUGCUGUCCGCCGCGGGGUUGUUCAAAUAUUCCCAAAAUUUCACCAUAUAAUCUACCAUACGUCCUCUUUUCAUAUCUUCAAACCAAACCCUUCAAACCUCCCUCAAACUCAAUUUGAGAUCUAGGAAACCCUAGCCGCCACCUUUUUUCCUUAAAUUCGUGAAGUUCCGACCACCACCACACUAUAAUACUUACAUUAAUGGAUAGAGCUUCUCAAGAGCGACCUAUUUAUGUUAAUUUCAAUCCUAAAACCCGGCAACCAUUUUCCGGCCAGUCCUGGCAACCGCCCAACGCCACCACUGCUUUCACCAUUUUCUCCACCCACUGCUAAACGACACCCAAACCACCAAUUUGAGGCUUGGCAGAGACCCCAUAUCGGCAAUAACUGAGUGAGGCUUUUUCUAAGUUUCAAGCUUGGUGGCCAUAGGUUAUCGUCUCAAUUACACAUCCGCAAUCGUAUAAGGAAAUUUGGAUCCCAGCAUAGCGCAAAAUUGUAAUCCCUUCUCUUUUUACUGAUUUUCUAUUUUUUCCUUCCUAAUUAAUUUUAGAUUUCUGUUUAUGGUUAAGCUAUGUCUCGUUUUUUUAUAUUUUGUUUAAUUCUGGCUGCACCGUCAUUUAUUUAGUUUGGUUGUGAUCAAUCACUUAACUGUUAAUACGCGCUUAAACAUAGGUUUCGUCUCUGAUUUCUUUUUUCGCAACGUCAUGGGUUAUUUUCUAGCUAUUAAAAUGCUGAAUUUUCUGAUUUUACACUAGUUUAAAUCAGUUUGGUUAGUUUGAUAUUAGUUUGUGAAGGUUAAAAUAUAAAUAAUGGAGUAGAGUACAUGUUUGGUUUCUUUUACUGUUUUGGAGUUGUUGGGAGUACAUCUACUUUUGUUUGUGUCUGAAAUUAGUGAAAAAGGGCAUUCCUUUUCUCAUUUUUUAGGUUGAUUUUUGGUUGAGGAAAAACCUAACCUCAAGGACCUUCUGCUACAAAGGAGGGGGGAGCUGAAUACAUUACAGUAAGCUGAAACCAAGUCAAAAUCUUCCAAAGUAGUAAAUUUAGUUUCUUUGAAAGUGCUUGAAGUACCUGGUGUUUGAUUUUCUGGUUUGUUUUGGGUGUCCUUUGCUGGUUUUUCGCUGAUGUUGCUUGUUGGUUUUGGCUGGGUUUAGUUGUCGUUUUUCUCUACCUUACUGCUGCGAUUAAAAUUCUGCAUUCUCUGUAACCUUCAACCUUGUAAUUUUGUUUUAUUCGAUUGAAAGUGAAGAAGAGUCGUAUAUACGAGUUCCUUUCAGUUUCUUUGGUUCUUAUUCUACUUCCUGCUCGUUAAAAGAAUGCAUGAGCGCUGAAAUUAUUAUAAGUAAGCAAUAAAGUAGAGUAAUUUAUUUUACGUUCGUUUAAAU